Molecule: ribosomal RNA, 497 nt
Filed under: uncultured bacterium
Lineage: Bacteria
Description: partial 16S ribosomal RNA
Rfam family: Bacterial small subunit ribosomal RNA
Source: RNAcentral
GACGAACGCUGGCGGCGUGCCUAAUACAUGCAAGUUGAGCGCUGAAGGUUGGUACUUGUACCGACUGGAUGAGCAGCGAACGGGUGAGUAACGCGUGGGGAAUCUGCCUUUGAGCGGGGGACAACAUUUGGAAACGAAUGCUAAUACCGCAUAAAAACUUUAAACACAAGUUUUAAGUUUGAAAGAUGCAAUUGCAUCACUCAAAGAUGAUCCCGCGUUGUAUUAGCUAGUUGGUGAGGUAAAGGCUCACCAAGGCGAAGAUACAUAGCCGACCUGAGAGGGUGAUCGGCCACAUUGGGACUGGGACACGGCCCAAACUCCUAAGGGAGGGAGCAGUAGGGGAUCUUCGGCAAUGGACGAAAGUCUGACCGAGCAACGCCGCGUGAGUGAAGAAGGUUGUCGGAUCGUAAAACUCUGUUGGUAGAGAAGAACGUUGGUGAGAGUGGAAAGCUCAUCAAGUGACGGUAACUACACAGAAAGGGACGGCUAACUACGUG